AUUCACUCUUCUUCUUUCCCUUUCUUUUGUUUUCAUUUCAACAGCCCAAAUUCUCUCAAAUUGAAAAGGGAAUUUCAAGUAAAAACCCUAGAUCAACUCAUUUUUGGAGGCUAAAGCAAAUAGAGCUAAAGGUUUGUUGAAACAAGCUUGAAGAACCCUAACUCCUAAAAGGGUUUGGUGGAUAUUUGAAGGAAAAAGGAGGGGCAGCAGCUGGUUUACAACUAAGAUUAGUAUUAAAACCUUUAUUUUUUAUCAUAUUUGAGUAGGGAUAUCACUAAGGAUAAGGGAAAAAUACAAGAUAGUAAAAAGGAUAGCUAGCAUGUGUGAUAGAACUUUGGUUUUGCCAGUAGCCUGCAGGAUCAGUCACUUUUAAAAAUUCAUAAUUUAAGUUAGGAAAAUUGGAUUGUUGUGAUCUUUAUGUCUAUGAAAAUUUUGAUAAAUGCUCUAAAACUUUGUAGUUUCAUGCCAAACCUAAUUCCCUUGUUAAGUUAGUAUUUAAAGGCAAAACUGUUUAUUGCUCAAAUCUAGAAAAUUAACCUAAUGGUUUCUAGAAGCAGGAUAAUCAAAUUUAAAAAUUCAUAACUUGAGCUACAAAACUUGAAAUAGUGUGAUUCUUGAAUCGUUAGAAAGCUUAGUGAAUGCCCUAAAACUUUGUAGUUAUGGACAAAAAUUAAUUUUGCUAACUGCAUAGUGAUAUUGUUAUAUUUCCUAUUACUACUCUAGAUGUGAUUGAAGUUUGGAGCAGGUUACAUACUUUUGUUCAUAACUUGAGAUGUAGACUUGAUUUUGAUGCAAUUCAAAUUGGAGAUUGAAAUGGACAUAUGAAAGUUGAAUACUAGAAAAUAUAGCAAUAAAACCCUAUUUUUAUGAUUUUUGGUAGAAUUUUAAACUUGUUGCCCUGUUUACCAGAAUUGACUGGAAAAUGUAAUUAUGUGUUUUUAAUGAUAUUGAUGGUGAAGGAGUUGUGAAUAAAAAGGAAAUUGACAAGUAUAUCUUGAUUGAAUAAAUUAUAUAUAGUAUUAGUAAUGUGUAUGCCCAUCAAGUCUAGAAAUAGGUGGCAUGAGGAAAUUGACUAGUCAAUUGUUGAAAUUGUGCACAAUAACUUAGCUUUAUGCCACGAUGAGGUUACUUGGCUUUAUGCCAUGAUGAGGAUUCUUAGUUUUAUGCCAUGAUGAGAAUACUUGGCUUAUGCCAUGAUAAUGAUACUUGUCACUCGAAUUGUCUAGACAUUAUAAUUAGGCUAAGAAAAUAAUGAAAAGGGAUAUGUGAUAAAGGUUAUGCAUGAAAUGCUAUGCACCAUGAUUAUAUAUGUUAUUAAUUUGAUCAUGCAAGAAUUUUUGAUAAAUAAAAGUUAUGUCAUGUCUCAUUAAAUUGUGUUGGAUUGCAUAUAUAUAUUUGAACUAAAAUUUUUAGAAACAUGAUUAAUGAGAUUAUGUAUGAUUGGCUUGCACACAUAUUGCAUGACACAAUAUCAUUAAGUUAUAGAGCAAGUUGCUUAGCGGAGAGUUGUUUAAACUUCCUGUAGGUAAUAAAAGUAGAAAUAAGGAGGCGACACAGGAGUAAAAGUGGAUAAGUGACGUUUUGCUCAAGACUCGAGAAGACACCAUAUUAUUUUGUACACAUUAGGAGAUUAUAUUGUAUAGGCAUUUUGAUAUGUAAUGUAAUCCUUUAAUGUGUAACCAUUUAAAUUCCACAAACUGCAUGGAUAUUAUAACAAGUUUUGUAUUUUGUAAAUACUUUCAUAUGUAUAUAUUGUAAAUUUCCUAAUAUGAAAAUUUAUUCUCA
Molecule: unclassified non-coding RNA, 1785 nt
Filed under: Hevea brasiliensis (rubber tree)
Lineage: Eukaryota; Viridiplantae; Streptophyta; Magnoliopsida; Malpighiales; Euphorbiaceae
Source: RNAcentral